Non-coding RNA from Felis catus (domestic cat), 91 nucleotides. NCBI's taxonomy places the organism in Eukaryota, Metazoa, Chordata, Mammalia, Carnivora, Felidae. The record is from Rfam.
GCCUGGGUGGCUCAGUCGGUAGAGCAUCUGACUCUUGAUUUCGGUUCAGGUCAUGAUCCCAGGGUCAUGGGAUGGAGCCCCAUGUCAGGCU